RNAcentral lists this ribosomal RNA (253 nucleotides) under uncultured bacterium. RNAcentral describes it as "partial 16S ribosomal RNA". It matches the Rfam family "Bacterial small subunit ribosomal RNA", at positions 524 to 776 of the family's 1533-position model. The record is from RNAcentral.
GACGGAGGGGGCUAGCGUUGUUCGGAAUUACUGGGCGUAAAGGGCGCGUAGGCGGCCGAUCAAGUUAGGCGUGAAAUCCCUGGGCUUAACCCAGGAACUGCGUUUAAUACUGAUUGGCUAGAGAUUGGUAGAGGAAAGUGGAAUUCCUAGUGUAGAGGUGAAAUUCGUAGAUAUUAGGAAGAACACCAGAGGCGAAGGCGACUUUCUGGGCCAAUACUGACGCUGAGGCACGAAAGCGUGGGGAGCAACCAGG